UUUCUUGCACCAGAUACUACCAAGGAGCUUGUCCAUGCUCUAAUAAUUUCCCGCAUGGAUUAUUGUAACCCUCUCCUGCUUGGUCUUCCCAAAAGCCGUACUGCACCCCUACAGUCUGUAAUGAAUGCUGCUGCUAGACUGAUUUUCCUCUCUAGUCGGUUCUCUCACACCUCACCCCUCUGCCAGUCCUUACAUUGGCUUCCUGUGUGCUAUAGGAGUCAAUUCAAG
Pelobates cultripes (western spadefoot toad) is the source of this 228-nucleotide non-coding RNA. Lineage: Eukaryota; Metazoa; Chordata; Amphibia; Anura; Pelobatidae. The record is from the annotation of a GenBank genome assembly.